Molecule: transfer RNA, 73 nt
Filed under: Apaloderma vittatum (bar-tailed trogon)
Lineage: Eukaryota; Metazoa; Chordata; Aves; Trogoniformes; Trogonidae
Rfam family: tRNA
About the family: Transfer RNA (tRNA) molecules are approximately 80 nucleotides in length. Their secondary structure includes four short double-helical elements and three loops (D, anti-codon, and T loops). Further hydrogen bonds mediate the characteristic L-shaped molecular structure. tRNAs have two regions of fundamental functional importance: the anti-codon, which is responsible for specific mRNA codon recognition, and the 3' end, to which the tRNAs corresponding amino acid is attached (by aminoacyl-tRNA synthetases). tRNAs cope with the degeneracy of the genetic code in two manners: having more than one tRNA (with a specific anti-codon) for a particular amino acid; and 'wobble' base-pairing, i.e. permitting non-standard base-pairing at the 3rd anti-codon position.
Source: Rfam by way of RNAcentral
GGCCAGUUAGCUCAGUGGGUUGAGUGUGAUGCUAAUAACGCCGAGAUUGCGGGUUCGAUUCUUGUUCAGUCCA